GAUUCCCGGGGUUGGUGGCAGCGGCGGUAGCAGCAAUGGACUUUCUCCUGGGGAACCCGUUCAGCUCUCCAGUGGGACAGCGCAUCGAGAAAGCCACAGAUGGCUCCCUGCAGAGCGAGGACUGGGCCCUCAACAUGGAGAUCUGCGACAUCAUCAACGAGACGGAGGAAGGUCCCAAAGAUGCCCUCCGAGCAGUAAAGAAGAGAAUCGUGGGGAAUAAGAACUUCCACGAGGUGAUGCUGGCUCUCACAGUGCUCGACGGCACCUCUCGGCCCUCCAGGUCUUAGAAACCUGUGUCAAGAACUGCGGGCACCGCUUCCACGUGCUGGUGGCCAGCCAGGACUUCGUGGAGAGUGUGCUGGUGAGGACCAUCCUGCCCAAGAACAACCCACCCACCAUCGUGCAUGACAAAGUGCUCAACCUCAUCCAGUCCUGGGCUGACGCGUUCCGCAGCUCGCCCGAUCUGACAGGUGUGGUCACCAUCUAUGAGGACCUGCGGAGGAAAGGCCUGGAGUUCCCCAUGACUGACCUGGACAUGCUGUCACCCAUCCACACACCCCAGAGGACCGUGUUCAACUCAGAGACACAAUCAGGACAGGAUUCUGUGGGCACUGACUCCAGCCAGCAAGAGGACUCUGGCCAGCAUGCUGCCCCUCUGCCCGCCCCGCCCAUACUCUCCGGUGACACGCCCAUAGCACCAACCCCGGAACAGAUUGGGAAGCUGCGCAGUGAGCUGGAGAUGGUGAGUGGGAACGUGAGGGUGAUGUCGGAGAUGCUGACGGAGCUGGUGCCCACCCAGGCCGAGCCCGCAGACCUGGAGCUGCUGCAGGAGCUCAACCGCACGUGCCGAGCCAUGCAGCAGCGGGUCCUGGAGCUCAUCCCUCAGAUCGCCAAUGAGCAGCUGACAGAGGAGCUGCUCAUCGUCAAUGACAAUCUCAACAAUGUGUUCCUGCGCCAUGAACGGUUUGAACGGUUCCGAACAGGCCAGACCACCAAGGCCCCAAGUGAGGCCGAGCCGGCAGCUGACCUGAUCGACAUGGGCCCUGACCCAGCAGCCACCGGCAACCUCUCAUCCCAGCUGGCAGGAAUGAACCUGGGCUCCAGCAGUGUGAGAGCUGGCCUGCAGUCUCUGGAGGCCUCUGGUCGACUGGAAGAUGAGUUUGACAUGUUUGCGCUGACACGGGGCAGCUCACUGGCUGACCAACGGAAAGAGGUAAAAUACGAAGCCCCCCAAGCAACAGACGGCCUGGCUGGAGCCCUGGACGCCCGGCAGCAGAGCACUGGCGCGAUCCCAGUCACCCAGGCCUGCCUCAUGGAGGACAUCGAGCAGUGGCUGUCCACUGACGUGGGUAAUGAUGCGGAAGAGCCUAAGGGGGUCACCAGCGAAGAAUUUGACAAAUUCCUGGAAGAACGGGCCAAAGCCGCGGACCGAUUGCCCAACCUCUCCAGCCCCUCAGCUGAGGGGCCCCCGGGUCCCCCAUCUGGCCCAGCGCCCCGGAAGAAGACCCAGGAGAAAGAUGAUGACAUGCUGUUUGCCUUAUGAGUGUGGGGUCUGGCACCCUGCAGCCCAGGUCCCCACUGCUCUCACACCCUUAGGCUGGGACCUCCCUCCCUCCUCUGGUGUUAAGGCUGCUUUGGGGGUGGCUUGUUACCCCCUUUUCCUCCUCUUUGAAGACGGAGCUGCCCCAGCUGUGGCUGGGGGUGUGGAGGCAGUGGGAUGAACUGGGGGACAGGUCUGCGCUGCAGUGGGAUCUGGCUGCUCUGCCUCCUUUCCCACCCCAGCUGACCAUGAGACUUUGCUGAGAAGUGGAGGCCCCAGGACAGGCUGGCUGGCUGGCUGGCUGCUUGACCCAGUGUGACUCUCCUUCACUGAGUGAUACCCUGCUCCGGGCCCAUGCCCCAAGGAGCCCUUCAGAGCCCACACUGCCAGUCGAGGCCUGGCUGGAGGCUGGCCACAGUGGAAAUUCUGCCGAGCCUCUUGUCCCUUCCCUGCUCUGCUGCAUGGGGCCCCAUGGCUUUGGCUGGCCACUGAGGGUAGGGUGUGGAGGUGUGGAGGCCCCCUGAGGAGCUGCGGCGGCCCAGGUACGAAGCUGCAACUCUGCGCGCAGUGGGCGAGAUCUCAUCAGCCCCAGGCUGCAGGUGAGGCUUCAGGGGAUGCUGGGGCCCCACUGCCCCUCCGCUGCCUUGCCCUCCAUCCUUCCUCUGUUCCUUCUGGCCGGGCACCACAGCACUGGGGCUCACCUCUUGGUUGAUCCUCUUGUACUGGGAGAGGUGCCUUUUGUAUCCCCAAUUAAAGGUAGAAAACCA
RNA transcript from Homo sapiens (human), 2307 nucleotides. It is a transcript of the gene named target of myb1 membrane trafficking protein, with no coding region annotated. NCBI's taxonomy places the organism in Eukaryota, Metazoa, Chordata, Mammalia, Primates, Hominidae. The record is from RefSeq and is marked reviewed. The transcript is spliced from 15 exons.